Molecule: long non-coding RNA, 328 nt
Organism: Dendroctonus ponderosae (mountain pine beetle)
Lineage: Eukaryota; Metazoa; Arthropoda; Insecta; Coleoptera; Curculionidae
Exons: 2
Source: RefSeq, a predicted model, not a curated record
AAAAUAUCGUUUUUGUCAUUUCAACGUUUUGUCUUAAGCUGAACAGAGCAUCGAGAUAAAAUGAAGAAAUUUUAAAGAAAUUUAAUAUAAGCUAGAUGAACUGUCCUGGACCUAGAGCAGAUAUGAAAUUCAGUGUUGGCUAGACGAUGACAAAGGAGCCUGAACAUUAUUCUUGGGCGUUGAGCCUGGAUUAAAGUGAUGAAAUUCGCAAUAUGCAGUGGCAUGGAGAAUGUAUGAAAAAGAUGGAAAAGCUCAAAUCUAACUUAUCCUCUUGCUUAAUGGAAUUUUGGCGAAAAGCAGCCUGCAAUAAAUACAUGAAGGACUCAAA